This 1904-nucleotide long non-coding RNA is filed under the name Glycine max (soybean). Its description in RNAcentral is "long non-coding RNA (GMAX_LNC004301)". The record is from RNAcentral. Lineage: Eukaryota; Viridiplantae; Streptophyta; Magnoliopsida; Fabales; Fabaceae.
UCGUUUUUCCCCUUCUCCUCUCAAAAUCCUUUCUUUUUCCCGCAGCCCAUCAAACUAGUCUCAGAAAAACGACGAUCUCGAACCCGUUCACCGUUGGAUCGUCGUGAAAUUUGAGUAUCAUGUUCGCAACACAAUUCCGAGAAUUCUCACCGUUGGGAAUUUUGAUAUCACGUCUGAACUGAGAGAAACACCCUUCGCAUUGUAGCCUUUUUCUUUCCCGCAGAAACCCAGAGCUGUCUUGGUAAAACUACGAUCCCGGUUUAGUUAACCGUUGGAUUAUUGUGAAAUUUGGAUAUGUUGUUCGAAAUUCAAUUCCGCACACUUACACCGUUGGGAUUUGCGAGAUAAUAUUCGUGGAGGGAGAAAAAGGAAUCGCAUGAAGACAGCACAAGUGGAGGUUUCAAUCUCUUCUCCGUCGGUAAGGGAUGAGUUAUUCACAGUUGAGGAUUAGUGAGAACAUGUGCAGGGAUCCUUAGAGGAUUAAAUUGGGGUUUUAUUUUGAGAUGUUUAUUAAAUUGCAAUUUUUCCUUUAUGAUUAUAAAUAAAAUAUUGAUGUCCUAAUGAAAAUUGCUUGAUAAAUGUGCUCUUGAUAUUUGUAUAUUUCGACCUAUGAUUUUGAUAUAAUUGUGUAAUAUUAGUUAAGGGGUUUUAGUCCUAAUGUUGUGAUAGUGUGUUAUAUAAAUUGUUAUAUUGAGGAUAUGAAAUGAUGAUUCAAAUUGUGAGUAUGUGAUGAAUUGUAGAAGAAUAUGUUGCUUUGAGAUUAUAAUAUUGUUAUUGAGAUUGAGUAUAAGUGUAAAGUUGAACAUGUGCUAAUUUGUGAGAUACGUGUAAACAUGUGAUGGUGGAUUGUCACACUAUGAGAAGUGAAAUUGUGAAUGAGUUCUAGUUGUGGAUAAGUGUGUAGUUAACACUUGAUGUGAAAUUACUUGUGUUGUAAGCUAUGAAUUGUACAAUAACCCGACCAGUGUUAUCUUGAGAAAAGCGUUGAUGCGCAGUGUUAAAGAGAAAAUGUAGGUUUCCUAUUUAGGAGCCAGUGUUAAAUCAUAGUGCGAUUGUGUUGAACGUGUUUAAAACACGAGUGUAAGGUCGUGGGUAUUGUAUAAUUCAUGAGCAGUGUCUGCAUGCAAAAAUUAUUUUAGGGGUUGGACCUGAAUCAGGAGGGAGAGGCCCUGACGGACUCUUCGGAGUGUAGGCCUUGGGGGUCACCGGGUUUGAGUGCUCCUUUAAGCCUAUGCUGAUCUCAUAUGGUUGGAGCAUUCUCGCAAAACAUCGUGACCCUGACUGGUCUCCCUAUGAUCUUACUUAGUGAGAGUGACCUGACAAACCCAUUGUGUGGUGUGUCUUGUUAUGUACUCCUAAGCGCCCCAGGGUGGUUUUUCACUGACAUGGUACCACAUUGCAUAUAGGCUUGAGUCUUAGCAUAACUGUCGCAUACGCUUGCUAAUUGUUUAUUAUGAAAUUGAUGUGUUAUUAUGUCUUGAUCAGAGUGUGUGAUUUCUGUGUAUAGUGAUUGAUGACUGAAAGGUGUAAUUGAUGGAUGAAAAGUGUGAUUGAUGAAUGACAAAGUGAUGAAAUAAUGUGAGAUAUGCUAAGUAAAUUGUAUUUGGCUACUAUAUGUUGUGUUGUUUCUCUCUAGUAGUUAGCAAUGUGAUAACUCACUCCCGGUUUGCUGUUUGUGUUUGGAUCCUGUGAUGAUCUUGAACUUUGUGUUCGGGGGAGCAGAUGAAUAGGUGGAUGACUAUGAAGAACCUCAUGCUAGAGGACACGGGAACACAACGCUCUGAUAGGAUGUGACAUUAGGAUAUAGGUUCUAUAUUAAUUGUAUGAAGACCUUGUUGAGUCGAGAAUACUUUAUUAUUUAUUUGGACAAGUUUGAAUAUGAUGUAGAAGAAAAUGAAUGUGAG